CUCACAAAAAAAAAGAAGGCCACACUAAAGAAGCACGUUCCUAGUAUGUAUCUAAUAACAUAAAUAUGCUACUACUCAAUAUAACUAAACUAUUCUGUGAGCAAAAGGAAAACAUGCAUGUAGCUAGAAAAAAAGGAAGCAAACCUCAAGCAGCAGAACAGAGUUAUAGCAAAGCAGAAGAUCAAGAUGCAGUAACACAGGAGAUCGCAGAACCUGCUAAAUAAACAGAGAUGAAGUAGCCAGAGCAGGUAAAGAGAACUACAUGUGCCAAGGUAUUAAAACAUUUUACAGUUCAUUUUGCAAGUUCAAAAUUGACACCAUGGCAGCCCAGAACUGUAGAGAAAAACACCAGGCAUGCUCUGCAUGUCUACCAUGUUUCACUUUGAGAUAAAGCUCAAUUGCAACUAAAAUAUCUCUCCUUGUAGCUCCUAUAACCCACACACCUAAAUUAAACCAACAAGUUAGAAUAUCAUUGUUUGCGAAGAAAGACCACAACAACCUAAUCAACGAUAUCCCUUCUUUAAUAAUUUCCUUUCUUCUCUAUAGUUCCAAUUUUUCAAUAUGGCGCAAUGAUUCAUCCCUAUUUAAUCUUACAUUGAGAUCCAAAUUUAGUGUGUGGCAUAGAUGUUAAUAAACCCAGCCUAAAAUCUGGGAAGAGCAAAACAAUAAAACUGAGAGUUCCCUUCUUUAUUCUAAGUUUCCGUCGAACUGGCAAAAUCAUAUGUAGGCAACUCAAGUUAUACGCCGCAUGCAAUAACUGAACUUCCUCAACAACCUCACAAAUGUAGGACAAGCCAGGCAAGCAGCGAUAUAUUGAGGAUUAAAAAAUACAUGAGUUGAGAAACUGAUCAUAUACCUUUAGAUGCAAUGACACACUUAUCCUAGAAAGUCCUGUAGUGUGGUAAUAACCUGAUGUUAGGCAUAUAUCUAUAUCCCCGGCGAGCAAUCAUGGUGCAGAUACGUAGUUAGUUGGAUAGGUUUAGCAUGGAGGUGACACAAUGUCUUGGCACAAACAAAAUAUAUUAUAUAAGUUUUCACUUCCAUUAUGCCAACACUGUCAAACAUCCUGUCACAUAGAACGUAAAGUUAACUUGGAUCAACCUCUUAGGUAACCGGUUGGACUAAUAACGGCACAGUUCAAAUUUAAAUGUUGCAUACAAGACAUCAGCCAUGUUCCUGUAAUCUAUGUCAUCAACGGCACUUGUAGCAAAUGUUUCUUGUAGUUAACUGAUGAUUUAGAGCCAUGCUCGUGUAGUGUUGUAAAGGUUGGAUCAUUGUAACCCUCCAAAUAUUUACUUGGUAAUCAAGUAGGAGAGCCACCAUAUGAGUAUACAGAAAGAUGAUCAAACCCUCGGCAACUUUCACUUUGAGGAAUUUCAUGUAUAUAAAUACGCCCUGAAAUGGACCAGCUCAAAUGUUCACACAUCCACUAAGAAAAUAAAAAACACAAAGCAACAAGUGCUUUCUUGUUAAGGUUUAAGCCUGAAAUGGACCAGCUCAAAGGUUCUACAACAACUAUUGUUCAGGUUUAAGCCUCGUUUGGCAGAAAUUCACGUUGAAUGACCAAUUUACAUGUACAACCAAACUCUCUCUUACUUUUGUUCUGAUUCUAAACAUCCUUUAAAAUCAAAAGAAGUAGCCGCAGAAUGGACAGAAUAACAAGCAUAGUUAAAAAAGGCACGCCUAAGCGAGCGCUUAAGUGUGGCCAGGCUCUAGGCGAUGGCAAAACGCAUAGCGCAUAACUGCGCUUAAUCUGCGCAUAAUUGCGCAUAAGCAUGCGCUUUGGUCAGAAAAGCGCAAGGCGGUGGCAAAACGCACAAUUAACGCCUAGCACUUUUUUGAACUAAGAUAACAAGUGAAGUAGGUACCUAGCUGCAACACCUCAUGUUAAACAUCUCGCUGCCACCAUACCAUAGACAUUCAGGUUUCACCAAUAGCUCAUAUGCAAUACAAC
RNAcentral lists this long non-coding RNA (1954 nucleotides) under Triticum aestivum (bread wheat). Its description in RNAcentral is "long non-coding RNA (TAES_LNC002958)". Lineage: Eukaryota; Viridiplantae; Streptophyta; Magnoliopsida; Poales; Poaceae. The record is from RNAcentral.